GGACGAACGCUGGCGGCGUGCUUAACACAUGCAAGUCGAACGGAAAGGCCCUGCUUGCAGGGUACUCGAGUGGCGAACGGGUGAGUAACACGUGGGUGAUCUGCCCUGCACUUCGGGAUAAGCUUGGGAAACUGGGUCUAAUACCGGAUAGGACCGCACUUUAGUGUGUGUGGUGGAAAGUUUUUUCGGUGUAGGAUGAGCUCGCGGCCUAUCAGCUUGUUGGUGGGGUAAUGGCCUACCAAGGCGGCGACGGGUAGCCGGCCUGAGAGGGUGUACGGCCACAUUGGGACUGAGAUACGGCCCAGACUCCUACGGGAGGCAGCAGUGGGGAAUAUUGCACAAUGGGCGCAAGCCUGAUGCAGCGACGCCGCGUGGGGGAUGAAGGCCUUCGGGUUGUAAACUCCUUUCGCUAGGGACGAAGCUUUUUGUGACGGUACCUAGAUAAGAAGCACCGGCUAACUACGUG
This 466-nucleotide ribosomal RNA is filed under the name uncultured bacterium. RNAcentral describes it as "partial 16S ribosomal RNA". It matches the Rfam family "Bacterial small subunit ribosomal RNA", at positions 27 to 507 of the family's 1533-position model. The record is from RNAcentral.